This 253-nucleotide ribosomal RNA is filed under the name uncultured bacterium. Its description in RNAcentral is "partial 16S ribosomal RNA". It matches the Rfam family "Bacterial small subunit ribosomal RNA", at positions 524 to 776 of the family's 1533-position model. The record is from RNAcentral.
UACGAAGGGGGCUAGCGUUGCUCGGAAUCACUGGGCGUAAAGCGCACGUAGGCGGAUCGCUACGUCAGGGGUGAAAUCCUGGAGCUCAACUCCAGAACUGCCUUUGAUACUGGCAAUCUCGAGUCCGGGAGAGGUGAGUGGAACUGCGAGUGUAGAGGUGAAAUUCGUAGAUAUUCGCAAGAACACCAGUGGCGAAGGCGGCGCACUGGCCCGGUACUGACGCUGAGGUGCGAAAGCGUGGGGAGCAAACAGG